GGUCGAGUGACCCCGCGCCGAAAAUGUACCGGGGCUAAACAUAUUACCGAAACUGUGGAUGAACCUCUUUAGAGGUUCGUGGUAGGAGAGCGUUCUAAGGGCGGUGAAGUCAGACCGGAAGGACUGGGGGAGCGCUUAGAAGUGAGAAUGCCGGUAUGAGUAGCGAAAGAAGGGUGAGAAUCCCUUCCACCGAAUAUCUAAGGUUUCCUGAGGAAGGCUCGUCCGCUCAGGGUUAGUCGGGACCUAAGCCGAGGC
RNAcentral lists this ribosomal RNA (255 nucleotides) under Listeria monocytogenes. RNAcentral describes it as "partial 23S ribosomal RNA". It matches the Rfam family "Bacterial large subunit ribosomal RNA", at positions 1147 to 1402 of the family's 2925-position model. The record is from RNAcentral. Lineage: Bacteria; Bacillati; Bacillota; Bacilli; Caryophanales; Listeriaceae.